RNAcentral lists this ribosomal RNA (305 nucleotides) under uncultured bacterium. RNAcentral describes it as "bacterial SSU rRNA". It matches the Rfam family "Bacterial small subunit ribosomal RNA", at positions 338 to 657 of the family's 1533-position model. The record is from RNAcentral.
CCUACGGGGCGCAGCAGUGGGGAAUAUUGGGCAAUGGGCGCAAGCCUGACCCAGCAACGCCGCGUGAAGGAAGAAGGCUUUCGGGUUGUAAACUUCUUUUGUCAGGGACGAAGCAAGUGACGGUACCUGACGAAUAAGCCACGGCUAACUACGUGCCAGCAGCCGCGGUAAUACGUAGGUGGCAAGCGUUAUCCGGAUUUAUUGGGUGUAAAGGGCGUGUAGGCGGGAAUGCAAGUCAGAUGUGAAAACCAUGGGCUCCACCUGGUGCCUGCCGUUGAAACUGUUUUUCUUGAGUACUGGAGAGG